RNAcentral lists this ribosomal RNA (465 nucleotides) under Vreelandella stevensii. Its description in RNAcentral is "partial 16S ribosomal RNA". It matches the Rfam family "Bacterial small subunit ribosomal RNA", at positions 338 to 795 of the family's 1533-position model. The record is from RNAcentral. Lineage: Bacteria; Pseudomonadati; Pseudomonadota; Gammaproteobacteria; Oceanospirillales; Halomonadaceae.
CCUACGGGUGGCUGCCGUGGGGAAUAUUGGACAAUGGGCGAAAGCCUGAUCCAGCCAUGCCGCGUGUGUGAAGAAGGCCUUCGGGUUGUAAAGCACUUUCAGUGGGGAAGAAAGCCUUGGGGCUAAUACCCUCGAGGAAGGACAUCACCCACAGAAGAAGCACCGGCUAACUCCGUGCCAGCAGCCGCGGUAAUACGGAGGGUGCGAGCGUUAAUCGGAAUUACUGGGCGUAAAGCGCGCGUAGGCGGUCUGAUAAGCCGGUUGUGAAAGCCCCGGGCUCAACCUGGGAACGGCAUCCGGAACUGUCCGGCUAGAGUGCAGGAGAGGAAGGUAGAAUUCCCGGUGUAGCGGUGAAAUGCGUAGAGAUCGGGAGGAAUACCAGUGGCGAAGGCGGCCUUCUGGACUGACACUGACGCUGAGGUGCGAAAGCGUGGGUAGCAAACAGGAUUAGAUACCCCAGUAGUC